UCGCUCUUUGUAACCUAUAAAUAAAGAGUCGUGCCUGCCCAGUGAUUUUAUUUAAACGGCCGCAGUACCCUGACUGUGCAAAGGUAGCAUAAUCACUUGCUUUUUAAUUGAAAGCUAGAAUGAAUGGCUUGACGAAAGCAUAACUGUCUCUUUUAUAUUAACUAGAAACUAAUUUUUAGGUGAAGAAGCCUAAAUAAUCUCAAUAGACGAAAAGACCCUGUCGAGCUUAAAAAAAACUUUAAAUUAAUUUUACAGCAAAACUUAAUUAAAACAAAUUUUUUGUUGGGGCGACAGAAGAACAGAUAAAGCUUCUUUUAUUUUUACAAAUAAAUAAAUUGUAUAGAGCCAUCAAUGAUGAUUAAAAGAAAAGUUACCGCAGGGAUAACAGCGUAAUUUCUUUGAAGAGUUCAUAUUGAAGAAGAAGUUUGCGACCUCGAUGUUGGAUUAGAAAAUCUUCUUGGUGCAAAAGCUAAGACAGAAGGUCUGUUCGACCUUUAAAUUUCUACAU
This 508-nucleotide ribosomal RNA is filed under the name Leptoplax coarctata. Its description in RNAcentral is "partial 16S ribosomal RNA". It matches the Rfam family "Bacterial large subunit ribosomal RNA", at positions 1816 to 2601 of the family's 2925-position model. The record is from RNAcentral. Lineage: Eukaryota; Metazoa; Mollusca; Polyplacophora; Chitonida; Acanthochitonidae.